GAUGAAGAACGUAGCAAAAUGCGAUAAGUAAUGUGAAUUGCAGAAUUCAGUGAAUCAUCGAAUCUUUGAACGUACCUUGCACCCUUUGGCAUUCCGAAGGGUAUGCUCGUUUGAGUGUCAUUGUACUCUCACUCUCCCGAUCUUUGGAUCGGGAGUGGUGGACUUGGGUGUUGCUGCUUUACCGUGGCUCACCUCAAAUGGAUUCGUGCAACUCCUGGUUGGACAUAGUACGGCGUGAUAAGUGUCUUCGCCGGCACCUCACUAGAGGGUGGCUGACCGGGAGCUCUGUGCUUCAAACCGUCUUCGGACAACAACUGACAACUUGACCUCAAAUCGAGUAGGACCACCCGCUGAACUUAAGCAUAUCAAUAAGCGGAGGA
RNAcentral lists this unclassified non-coding RNA (380 nucleotides) under soil metagenome. Its description in RNAcentral is "partial contains 5.8S ribosomal RNA, internal transcribed spacer 2, and large subunit ribosomal RNA". The stretch from base 1 to 120 matches the Rfam family "5.8S ribosomal RNA", at positions 35 to 154 of the family's 154-position model. The record is from RNAcentral.